AAUAGAUACCCAGGUAGUCCUGGCUGUAAACGAUGACCACUAGAUGCACGCGGGCUCGACCCUGGGUGUGUCGCAGUUAACGCUUUAAGUGGUCCGCCUGGGGAGUACGGUCGCAAGACUAAAACUCAAAGGAAUUGACGGGGACCCGCACAAGCAGCGGAGCGUGUGGUUUAAUUCGAUGCAACGCGAAGAACCUUACCAAGACUUGACAUGUCGCGAAUCUUCUUGAAAGGGAAGAGUGCCUUAGGGAGCGCGGACACAGGUGCUGCAUGGCUGUCGUCAGCUCGUGUCGUGAGAUGUUGGGUUAAGUCCCGCAACGAGCGCAACCCUUGUCCUGUGUUGCCAUACCGAAAGGUGGAACUCGCAGGAGACCGCCAGGGAUAACCUGGAGGAAGGUGGGGAUGACGUCAAGUCCUCAUGGCCUUUAUGUCCAGGGCUACACACGUGCUACAAUGGACGGUACAAAGGGCUGCCAACCCGCGAGGGGGAGCCAAUCCCAAAAAACCGUUCUCAGUUCGGAUUGCAGGCUGC
Molecule: ribosomal RNA, 531 nt
Filed under: uncultured bacterium
Lineage: Bacteria
Description: bacterial SSU rRNA
Rfam family: Bacterial small subunit ribosomal RNA
Source: RNAcentral